Molecule: small RNA, 840 nt
Filed under: Cryptococcus neoformans H99
Lineage: Eukaryota; Fungi; Basidiomycota; Tremellomycetes; Tremellales; Cryptococcaceae
Description: Cryptococcus neoformans var. grubii H99 hypothetical RNA
Source: RNAcentral
UCUACUGCAAGUACAUUUUACAAGCUCCUUGAGAAGCACAGUAAUCAUCAAGAAGCACGAAGAUCCAUAAGGACCUUUUAGUGUCGAUGACGCAGUGACAAAAAAAGCAGUGGCCGAUCAUCGCAGUCGCGUCACAUCGCUUCCACCAGCAAUCAGCAACGCGGCCCAUUGUUGUAUGUUCUGUGAGCAGACAAUAAACAACAAAUAGGUCUUUCACCUCAUAUCCUUCUUCCCUUUCCCCUUUGAGAACGAGUAUCAGGACACAAGAACGACGAAGGAUGACUCGGUCACAUGAUGAUAAACAACAGGCACGAAGAACGAGAGAUGUUCCUUUCAUCUGGCGACUCUUCCACUUCCGGAACAUUGUUCCUUAACUGGGCCUCCAUGGGCGCCGAGACCGGAUCAUGGAUGCGAAGGUACCUCUUCUUGAUGGAGUACGCGUUUAUCUGUUGAUUAUUGAAGAAUGAAAUCGAUCACCGCUCCUCUCAGCACGAAGAAUUCAUGUAGGCUUACAUAACAUUCACAACAUAGACUUCUGACUAUACAUUUACUUUCUGUUGAUCUUCAACAGCUUGUCGACAUCCUCUUUCCCUUUUCCGUCCAUCCAAGCAAUGGUGGCUUCGUAUAGCCUGUCGCUCUCCCCACCCUUGGCCUCUGGCAAAUCGUGCAAGACUUUGUGACCAAUAAGGGAUUGGCAGUAACCAAGGAACCUGUAGCCGUAGGGAAUUGAUUCGAGAAGCUUGUCAUCCAGCUUGGGUAAUUGGAGAGGGUUGACGGGAAUCAUGUGAUCCUUCUCGUAGAACACCUUGUAAUCUAUACAUAUGACAUUAGUAGGCUGUC